CGAAACGUGACGGAGCAACGCCGCGUGAGGGAGGAAGGCUCUUGGGUUGUAAACCUCUUUUCUCAAGGAAGAUAAUGACGGUACUUGAUGAAUCAGCAUCGGCUAACUCCGUGCCAGCAGCCGCGGUAAUACGGAGGAUGCAAGCGUUAUCCGGAAUAAUUGGGCGUAAAGCGUUCGUAGGUGGUGAUGUAAGUCUGCUGUUAAAGCGUGUAGCUUAACUACAUAUAGGCGGUGGAAACUACAUGACUAGAGUGCGUUCGGGGCAGAGGGAAUUCCUGGUGUAGCGGUGAAAUGCGUAGAUAUCAGGAAGAACACCGGUGGCGAAGGCGCUCUGCUAGGCUCUAACUGACACUGAGGGACGAAAGCUAGGGACGCG
This 376-nucleotide ribosomal RNA is filed under the name Calothrix sp. AECC1004. RNAcentral's name for it is "bacterial SSU rRNA". It matches the Rfam family "Bacterial small subunit ribosomal RNA", at positions 377 to 770 of the family's 1533-position model. Lineage: Bacteria; Bacillati; Cyanobacteriota; Cyanophyceae; Nostocales; Calotrichaceae. The record is from RNAcentral.